RNAcentral lists this ribosomal RNA (253 nucleotides) under uncultured bacterium. RNAcentral's name for it is "partial 16S ribosomal RNA". It matches the Rfam family "Bacterial small subunit ribosomal RNA", at positions 524 to 776 of the family's 1533-position model. The record is from RNAcentral.
UACGUAGGGCGCAAGCGUUGUCCGGAAUUAUUGGGCGUAAAGAGCUCGUAGGCGGCUUGUCACGUCGGGUGUGAAAGCCCGGGGCUUAACCCCGGGUCUGCAUUCGAUACGGGCAGGCUAGAGUGUGGUAGGGGAGAUCGGAAUUCCUGGUGUAGCGGUGAAAUGCGCAGAUAUCAGGAGGAACACCGGUGGCGAAGGCGGAUCUCUGGGCUGGAACUGACGCUGAGGAGCGAAAGCGUGGGGAGCAAACAGG